This 72-nucleotide transfer RNA is filed under the name Chelonia mydas (Green sea turtle). It matches the Rfam family "tRNA". From Rfam's summary of the family: Transfer RNA (tRNA) molecules are approximately 80 nucleotides in length. Their secondary structure includes four short double-helical elements and three loops (D, anti-codon, and T loops). Further hydrogen bonds mediate the characteristic L-shaped molecular structure. tRNAs have two regions of fundamental functional importance: the anti-codon, which is responsible for specific mRNA codon recognition, and the 3' end, to which the tRNAs corresponding amino acid is attached (by aminoacyl-tRNA synthetases). tRNAs cope with the degeneracy of the genetic code in two manners: having more than one tRNA (with a specific anti-codon) for a particular amino acid; and 'wobble' base-pairing, i.e. permitting non-standard base-pairing at the 3rd anti-codon position. Lineage: Eukaryota; Metazoa; Chordata; Testudines; Cheloniidae. The record is from Rfam by way of RNAcentral.
GGAAAAGUAGCCGAGUGGUCAGGGCACUAGACUAGGAAUUGGGAGAUCUGGGUUCAAGUCCCUGCUUUGCAU